UAAGCACUGAAGAGAUGCUCUUCUGUUAGGCAGCUGAAGAGAGAACUUAACAUGUAGGUACAGCUUUCUGUUACCUAAGGCACCUGUCUUCAGUCCUUGAAACCCAGAGCCUGGGAGGAAGACCUGCUCCUUCACCAUGGUUCCUGUGGAAAUGUUGGUCCUACACUACCUUGGAUGACCUUCAGCUUCCAGGAAUGGCUGUGUCACAUGGGUGCUGUGGAGCUGACCUUUGUCUGGACAGCCAGGAAGACCAUGGGAAAUCGUAGCCCCAGUACAGUAGUUGCUUCUGUGAAUCUAAUGGUACUGGUGCCUGGUAAGAACAGAGUUGUGGAAGAGGAGCAGGGAAGGAAAUCUAAGACUACAUGAUUUCAGGUUAGUCAGCUGCCUCUAGGUUAAAAGACUUAAGCAUGUUUUAGUACAAAAUUAAAGCAUCACUUCUUGACUAUUAAUUAGUAGCUGAGUUCUCUUUACCUGUCGUGAUUUUAAUUCAAGCUUCAGAGAUAAGGUUUAUUUGCAUACAUGGUUAUGUUUGCUGUAUCAUAAUUUUCAUACGGUUCUAGGAGUUAUUUAAAAAUUCCUGUAUAAUUCUUCUCCCCUGUGACCGUAUCUUCAAUGCAAACAAUCUUUUGCAAACAGAACCUGCUCUGGAAAGUGUUCCGAGUGUUUGGGAGGAUACUAAUUGAACAUCCCUUCGUGUGAAGAAGUGUAUAUCUCAUUGCACAAGAAGGCCUGCAGAAAUGCAAACUAUUUACUUAACUGUAUACAAUACUGGUAAAUAACACUAGUCCCUAAAAAAUUUCCUGGGCAUGAGUCUUAAGAUGAAAGACAUUUUUUACCUGUUUUUGUAGGGAAACUGUUAGGACUUGUUUCAGUGGCCAGAAUAUGCAUUGUAUUUUUCAGGGUGUUGUGCAUUUCCAAAUCACAGCUUGAACUGCAAUUGGGUAGUAACUUAUUAAGCUUGGUAUUGAUUUUUGGGGGGGAUGGAACAGUUUCUGCAAGUUAAAUCACCUGUCAACUUUAUUAAUGCUAAUGCUGUUUUGGUGAUACUGUGAGAGUAUAAUUAUGUCCGUAUCCAAACAUUUCCACCUUUUCAUGUUCUUGCUUUUGUUUUCAGUUUGUCAUAUAAUUCCAUUGCAUUGAGUAAAACUGUUUUUUAUCAGGGAUUCUGAGUGCAUAUUUUCCUUUGUUUUUGACCUCAGGACUGCAGGGUGUCACUGGGGAUGAUGACUGGUAAUGAACGGAAG
This 1244-nucleotide long non-coding RNA is filed under the name Numida meleagris (helmeted guineafowl). RNAcentral describes it as "lncRNA (ENSNMEG00000016940.1)". Lineage: Eukaryota; Metazoa; Chordata; Aves; Galliformes; Numididae. The record is from RNAcentral.